AGUCUGCAACUCGACUCCAUGAAGUCGGAAUCGCUAGUAAUCGUAGAUCAGAAUGCUACGGUGAAUACGUUCCCGGGCCUUGUACACACCGCCCGUCACACCAUGGGAGUGGGUUGCAAAAGAAGUAGGUAGCUUAACCUUCGGGAGGGCGCUUACCACUUUUGUGAUUCAUGACUUGGG
This 180-nucleotide ribosomal RNA is filed under the name uncultured bacterium. RNAcentral's name for it is "partial 16S ribosomal RNA". It matches the Rfam family "Bacterial small subunit ribosomal RNA", at positions 1302 to 1480 of the family's 1533-position model. The record is from RNAcentral.